AGGGACGUAAUUGAAACAUUAUCAAAGUAUAGGGCUGAUUCUUGUCAAACUUGAAAGAAAUUAAAACCCAAGGACCAAUUUAUAAAUGGCGCUGAGAUGCAGGGGUUCAAUUACAAUUUACCCAAGGACUGGACUGCAAAACGUCAAAAUGUCAAGGAUCAAAACGAAAAACACCAAAAACGGUGUCGUUUCUCAGCACUGUUCAUCUUCUUCAAUGCCUCAGCUGCCUGCCGCCACCAUUACUCCUGCAAUAACAGUCGAUUGAUUACCUGGUAACGGUGGAAUUCUGUGGCUAUAAAGCCAAAAAAAACAAAGAACGCGGGAGGAAAAGGAGACAAAAAAAAGAGCCACGAACAGGGGGGAAUCACAAAACCGGGGAAAGAGGAAGAAAAACUGGGGGGCAAAACUAGGGGAUUGGACUGAAAAGGAGAAGGAAAAACCGGGAGAAGAAGCCGGAGAAAAAGCCAGUGUACCCAGCUUUUCCCUCGUCUUUAGAACCUAGAAUACGAAGGCAACACAGGAGACACGAAUAAACCAGAAAAACAGAGGAAAACCAGAGCAGGGCUAGAGGCAGAACCAGAGCAAAAACAAAGCAAAGAACCCGAGAAAGCUUGGGUCCAGCCAACCCCCGGUUCCAGGACCCUUACCAUCGUAGUCUUCAUCCAGAGCAGGGGAAUUCGAAAGCAGAGACCAAAGGUUUUCUUUCCUUCCUAAACACAAUCUCAAAGGGGAAGAAGGAAAACAGAGAAGGAAAGAAAAACGGAGAGGCAACCAUUUCGCACCUGCAGAAAAAGAACAAUCCAAAGGAUAGUGGAGCCACCGCGCCAUCGUCUUCGGCGCCGUUCUUUGCUGCAUAGGUAAGUUU
This 865-nucleotide long non-coding RNA is filed under the name Populus tremula. RNAcentral's name for it is "long non-coding RNA (PTRE_LNC001399)". Lineage: Eukaryota; Viridiplantae; Streptophyta; Magnoliopsida; Malpighiales; Salicaceae. The record is from RNAcentral.